This 73-nucleotide transfer RNA is filed under the name Ailuropoda melanoleuca (giant panda). It matches the Rfam family "tRNA". From Rfam's summary of the family: Transfer RNA (tRNA) molecules are approximately 80 nucleotides in length. Their secondary structure includes four short double-helical elements and three loops (D, anti-codon, and T loops). Lineage: Eukaryota; Metazoa; Chordata; Mammalia; Carnivora; Ursidae. The record is from Rfam by way of RNAcentral.
ACCUGGCUGGCUCACUCAGUAGAGCAUGUGACUCUUGAUCUCAGGGUCGUGAGUUCAAACCCCAUGUUAGGCC